AUUUGCUACAUCAUUUACAACGGCUUCUGCAAUGAUGGGAAUUGUCCUUCUCUUUUUGUUUGCCUCUAUGGACUCUAUGGUAUUUACAACAGAGGCAUACGCGCKGUUUGCUAGAGAAGCUGUCACAGGCAAGCGUAGUCGAGCGGCAAUGAAAGUGGAAAACCGCAGAUCACUAGAAGCCAUCUUCAAACGCCAGCCAUGUGACUUUUGUCGAGAUGAAUUAGGAUUUAUUGAUGUCGAUGAAAACUGCUAAGACGCGAAAUAUAGAGACAAUACAGCCUACCAAAUAAACAAAGAAAAAUAUUGUGUUAAUGUAAAGCAAUAAUGUUGUGCGGUAUAUUUAUUAUAUAUUGGGUUUGGAAAUAAAUAGCAUGUGAUAACG
Long non-coding RNA from Exaiptasia diaphana, 382 nucleotides. RefSeq lists it as uncharacterized. The transcript is spliced from 2 exons. The record is from RefSeq and is a predicted model, not a curated record. Lineage: Eukaryota; Metazoa; Cnidaria; Anthozoa; Actiniaria; Aiptasiidae.